CAGUCGCCGCGGUAAUACGAAGGGGGCUAGCGUUGUUCGGAAUUACUGGGCGUAAAGGGCGCGUAGGCGGCCAUUCAAGUUAGAUGUGAAAGCCCUGGGCUCAACCUAGGAAUUGCAUUUGAUACUGUUUGGCUUGAGUUCGGGAGAGGUGAGUGGAAUUCCCAGUGUAGAGGUGAAGUCCGUAGAUAUUGGGAAGAACACCAGUGGCGAAGGCGGCUCACUGGACCGACACUGACGCUGAGGCGCGAAAGCGUGGGGAGCAAACAGGAUUAGAUACCCCAGUAGUCCCUGUCUCUUAUAC
This 301-nucleotide ribosomal RNA is filed under the name uncultured bacterium. RNAcentral's name for it is "partial 16S ribosomal RNA". It matches the Rfam family "Bacterial small subunit ribosomal RNA", at positions 509 to 807 of the family's 1533-position model. The record is from RNAcentral.